AACUGAUACUACCUGCGGGAACCUGCGGAAGGAUCAUUACUGAAGUGAUUUGGGGAUGUUGCUGGCCCUCUCUCAAGGGGGGACACUGUGCACUCCUCGAAACAAUUCACAAUUUCCAUCACACCCCUUGUGCACACCUUGUAGGCACCCAAACCCACCUCCGGGUGGUGGGGUCCUAUGUAUUCCUUCAUCUCACACUCUGUUGAAUGGUGCCAUGGGACGCAUCUAAAGGAUUAUUUG
RNAcentral lists this unclassified non-coding RNA (240 nucleotides) under soil metagenome. Its description in RNAcentral is "partial contains 5.8S ribosomal RNA, internal transcribed spacer 2, and large subunit ribosomal RNA". The record is from RNAcentral.